Neofelis nebulosa (Clouded leopard) is the source of this 492-nucleotide long non-coding RNA. RefSeq lists it as uncharacterized. The transcript is spliced from 3 exons. The record is from RefSeq and is a predicted model, not a curated record. Lineage: Eukaryota; Metazoa; Chordata; Mammalia; Carnivora; Felidae.
UGUCGGCCCCGGAUUCCCAGGAUGGACGAGAAGGCCUAAGGGAAAGCUGUGUCCGAAGGGCAUGUCUGGGAUUCUCGGGGCUUGGACGCACCAGGCUGCUGCUUCAGUGUCUCUCCAGAGGCAAUACAGCUGUGCCGCAGGGCCGCACCGUGGAAGCCCCUGGGAGCUUUCGUAACGCCGUGUUCCUCCACCGAAGCUGCUGCUACCGACAGGAGGCCCCUGGCCACUUGGAUGACGGUCGCCACGUGAUUCCCACACAAACGCCGGGCUGUGGUUCACCUCCGCACCGGGCUCUGUUUUGUAGCGGAUGGUGUUGGUGCCUUGCCAAGAACCUUUCACCGUACAACCCCCCUCCAGCUGCCGUGGGUGCCGGCUGCUGACAGCUCACAGCUGCCCCCUUGGCUGAAUGGGAGCCACUCCACCUGGCUGAGUGGGAGAAACUUCACCUGGGUGAACGGGAGCCAUCUCACCUGGAAGAACGGAGAAAUUUCG